Non-coding RNA from Papilio polytes (common Mormon), 64 nucleotides. The record is from the annotation of a RefSeq genome assembly. NCBI's taxonomy places the organism in Eukaryota, Metazoa, Arthropoda, Insecta, Lepidoptera, Papilionidae.
AUUUAAAUAAUUUAAAAAAAAUAUUGAUUUGUGGAAUCAAAAAUAUGAAAAUUCAUUUUAAAUC